AUUCCAGCUCCAAGAGCGUAUAUUAAAGUUGUUGCAGUUAAAAAGCUCGUAGUUGGAUUUCUGGUCUAAUGCGCCUGGCCCGCUGCCGUUAGGUAUGUGAGUGCCGGUGCGCGUUUACCAUCCUUCCAGAGAACACUUCUACCAUUUAUUUGGACGGAUGUUGUCUUCUGGAUCUUUUACUUUGAAAAAAUUAGAGUGUUUAAAGCAGGCCUUUGCUGUGAAUACAUUAGCAUGGAAUAAUAAUCUAGGACUUUGGUUCUAUUUUGUUGGUUUCUAGUACUGAAGUAAUGAUUGAUAGGGAUAGUUGGGGGCAUUCAUAUUCCAUUGUCAGAGGUGAAAUUCUUGGAUUAACGGAAGAUGAACUUCUGCGAAAGCAUCUGCCAAGGAUGUUUUCAUUA
Molecule: ribosomal RNA, 398 nt
Filed under: Cryomonadida sp.
Lineage: Eukaryota; Cercozoa; Thecofilosea; Cryomonadida
Description: partial small subunit ribosomal RNA
Rfam family: Eukaryotic small subunit ribosomal RNA
Source: RNAcentral